RNAcentral lists this ribosomal RNA (750 nucleotides) under Poseidonocella sedimentorum. RNAcentral describes it as "bacterial SSU rRNA". It matches the Rfam family "Bacterial small subunit ribosomal RNA", at positions 61 to 858 of the family's 1533-position model. The record is from RNAcentral. Lineage: Bacteria; Pseudomonadati; Pseudomonadota; Alphaproteobacteria; Rhodobacterales; Roseobacteraceae.
GUCGAGCGCUCACUUCGGUGGGAGCGGCGGACGGGUUAGUAACGCGUGGGAACAUACCCAACACUACGGAAUAGCCACUGGAAACGGUGAGUAAUACCGUAUACGCCCUUCGGGGGAAAGAUUUAUCGGUGAUGGAUUGGCCCGCGUUAGAUUAGAUAGUUGGUGGGGUAAUGGCCUACCAAGUCUACGAUCUAUAGCUGGUUUGAGAGGAUGAUCAGCAACACUGGGACUGAGACACGGCCCAGACUCCUACGGGAGGCAGCAGUGGGGAAUCUUAGACAAUGGGCGCAAGCCUGAUCUAGCGAUGCCGCGUGAGUGACGAAGGCCCUAGGGUCGUAAAGCUCUUUCGCCAGGGAUGAUAAUGACAGUACCUGGUAAAGAAACCCCGGCUAACUCCGUGCCAGCAGCCGCGGUAAUACGGAGGGGGUUAGCGUUGUUCGGAAUUACUGGGCGUAAAGCGCGCGUAGGCGGAUUGGAAAGUUGGGGGUGAAAUCCCGGGGCUCAACCCCGGAACUGCCUCCAAAACUAUCAGUCUAGAGUUCGAGAGAGGUGAGUGGAAUUCCGAGUGUAGAGGUGAAAUUCGUAGAUAUUCGGAGGAACACCAGUGGCGAAGGCGGCUCACUGGCUCGAUACUGACGCUGAGGUGCGAAAGUGUGGGGAGCAAACAGGAUUAGAUACCCUGGUAGUCCACACCGUAAACGAUGAAUGCCAGACGUCGGGGGGCUUGCCCUUCGGUGUCACACCUAACGG